Molecule: ribosomal RNA, 253 nt
Filed under: uncultured bacterium
Lineage: Bacteria
Description: partial 16S ribosomal RNA
Rfam family: Bacterial small subunit ribosomal RNA
Source: RNAcentral
UACGUAGGGUGCAAGCGUUAAUCGGAAUUACUGGGCGUAAAGCGUGCGCAGGCGGUUUUGUAAGACAGAGGUGAAAUCCCCGGGCUCAACCCGGGAACUGCGUCUGAUACUGGAUGGCUUGAGAUUGGGAGAGGGAUGCGGAAUUCCAGGUGUAGCGGUGAAAUGCGUAGAUAUCUGGAGGAACACCGGUGGCGAAGGCGGCAUCCUGGACCAACACUGACGCUGAGGAGCGAAAGCCAGGGGAGCAAACGGG